Molecule: ribosomal RNA, 792 nt
Filed under: Triticum aestivum (bread wheat)
Lineage: Eukaryota; Viridiplantae; Streptophyta; Magnoliopsida; Poales; Poaceae
Description: partial small subunit ribosomal RNA
Source: RNAcentral
AUGGCUAGCCCUUCUAUCAUUGUUAGUACUCCCGAUCAUGAAGUACUUAAUUUUAAACAAAGGGAUGGAGAAAACUUAAAAGAUGCUUGGUAUGGAAUUUGCAAUGCUCAGAAUAGAUCCACUAGGAAGCAAUCCACUUCCGUUCUUCUUCGCAAUUUUUAUGUUGGCAUCACUCCUUGGAACAUAUAUAUUCUUGAUAACAUUACCGGAGGGAAUUUCUCGGGUAGUCAUACUUUUGAUUCUUACAAUGCCAUGUUAGAUUUGUUUGGCUCACCCCCUCUUUUGGUUAACGGAACUACUUUAACUUUGGAACAUGUGAUGCAAAGGCUCGAAAUUAAUGAAAAUAAAGUUGCCACUAUAGAGUCAAUUGAGAAUUUGGAUAAAAAGAUCCACAACCACAUUACUCAAUAUGGAUCUAAGGUAGGAAUAACUCUGAAUUUUUUUAAAGAAAAGGAACCCUUAGUUAACGAAAAACUAAAUCAAGAUUCCACAAGAAUUGAUAAACUUGAGGAUAUUAUUACCAACUUAGGGUCUGCCUUUUCUACCGUAAGAAAUACUCCAAAUGCCAAAGUUGCCAAAUUAAUGUAUGUUCCUAAAAAUAAGGGGGGAUCUUCUAGUAAGGAAAAUGCGGAUCUCAAAUCUAUAAGUAUUCACCCCAACUUUUUCACUAUCAUUAAGGAACCUUUUGCUACGAAUGAAGUCCUUGAUUUUUUUCCUAGGAGUUUGAGGGAAAGUCCUAAGGGUUAUAAACGUUCUAUUGAAGAAUUGCAUGCCAAAGAUGAUAAUACUUAG